This 1991-nucleotide long non-coding RNA is filed under the name Strigops habroptila (Kakapo). RNAcentral describes it as "lncRNA (ENSSHBG00005013520.1)". The record is from RNAcentral. Lineage: Eukaryota; Metazoa; Chordata; Aves; Psittaciformes; Psittacidae.
UAGAAAAUACUGUGUUUAAAAGCAAACCUUUACCCUAAGGUUUAGGUACACAAAUGCAGAGUUUUCCAUCUAAUAUGUCAGGCAAAACACCUCACUCUUGAAGCAGCAGACAGAAUGGGGCACAAGAUAAAAAAAAAGCCAGCUUGUGAUACUAGGAAGGUGACAGGCAUAGCUAAAAGCAUAAGCUUUCUCCAGCCUUAAGUCAGUUACAUUCAACAUACAUGAGCUUGUAAACUAAGGAAUUCUAACUGUACUUUUAGCAUUUCAUUAAGAACUUGCUCAUUGCAGCACUCUCGGGUUUGCCAGCAGAAAAAGUCCAUGUGUCCUUGAGUAUUUGUUUCCACCAGUAACAUGACACAAGAAGGGGAGAUCCAACUCUCGGAAGAAUGUCAGAUGAGGGACUUCUUCACUGCAACUUUUUGUGUUUGUUCCUGGGUUUCUUCACACUAAGUUUGUUCCACAUAAGACUACUCUCCCAUGAUGAUUUUUCAGUAGAGCUCCACCACCUUUGGAAAUACUAACAGCAUAGUGGAUCAAAGGCUUACUCCCACCCACUUUGAGACAUACAGCUAGCUUGACAAAGCAGGUUAACAUUCCUCUAGAACACUCUGUAUCUUAUGAUUACCAUUUCCCUUUUCCUCACCCCCUCUUUUGUGAGAGGACAGCAUGAAUUACUUGCUGCUGAAGUGCAAUUCAAGAGUAGUUCCAAGGAAAGCAUGUUGGUGUGUCACAGAUGAAUGGGGCCUGAAGCCUGUUCCCCUACUUCCUCCCAAGAACCAAGAUUUUUUUCCCUCCCCACCACAAAUAUUUACUAGUCUAACUGCUAUUCUGGUAUAAAUGCAGCAAUUCCAGAGCACAGAUAGCUGUGUGUAUAUACCACUCCGGAACAGGCCAUGCUCCAGAAGCACUAUACUGCAUCUGACAAUAGAAUCCUUACUGCACAUUCACCCUGGUCUUCUGCUAUAAACCACUAUAAAUUCCUCCUCCUCCUCAGCCAACCCUUCUAGUCUGGGACAACACUUCCUCCACAGCAGAAAGCCAGAUGCCUGGGGAGCCUUUUCGAGUACAUUCUCCUAUCACACACAGAUACAGUCAAUCCUGCUGCUUUAACCCAGGAAGACUGCUGUAGAGAGGUUGAUGCAAAAAGUGAUAGCAAUUACGCUGAGGGACCCCACCACAUUUGCUCUUUCCAUUCAAAUCAAUCAUCUGGUAACAGGCUAUAUCAUUUCCAAAACAGGAUUUUUGGUGCAUUAUACUAAUAACAGUAAGAAACAAAAAAGGUUCCAGAACAUGUUGACUUCUACAGCUAAACUUAUUGGCAGUUGUAACAGCUAUAUGUAAUAUAUAUCCCCAAGGUUUUAUAGCUAGCUCCCUUGAAUUUAAGGGUGAAGGAGCUGAACUUUAUCCAUUAAGCAUCUCUGUGCACAAGUUAUUUACUAUAAAUAAAUGUGUUACUGCAUAGGAGAGAAACUACUGCCUAUGAAAUCUGACAGCAUCUUUCCUUUGCAAUCUCCAAGAGAUUUCCCAGGUCUAACUAGUCAUUGUCUUUCACAACAUGACUGCUUUGCCCAACAAAAAGGUAGCCUUAACAUGUGAUAAGAGGUUCUUCCAGAAGUUACUGUAUAGUUUGUCAAGCUAGAAGUAAAACUCCAUUGCAAGUUUAGGUUUCUACACUGAAAACAAUUGGCAGAUCAAGGAUAAUCUUACCACUGCAUCAACAUUAGCAGGAGAAUCACCAUUGGGAUCUGCCAGCAUAGAAAUAACACUAAUCAUUAGUUUCCACUGUGUGAAUGGGAAGCCAGCGUUCCUCAGGUUUUUCAUAGCCAUAUUUGUCUUCUCCAGGCUCAUGAAGAAUUGAAAUGCAGACAUCGCCAUUCUUUACUUACUAUAGUUAUCUGGAGGACCAAUAAUAAGGACUUCCCAUCGAGAAAGAUCAUUGUCAUCUAUUAAGCCCGCUGAAAAGCCUUCCACUGGAUUUUUGUUGAGCUCUG